GUCCCUGUAGCUUAAACCAAAGCAUGGCACUGAAGAUGCCAAGAUGGACCCUUUUUCCCAAGGAC
Molecule: transfer RNA, 65 nt
Filed under: Amazona ventralis
Lineage: Eukaryota; Metazoa; Chordata; Aves; Psittaciformes; Psittacidae
Description: tRNA-Phe
Source: RNAcentral